AAUUGAACGCUGGCGGCAUGCUUUACACAUGCGAAGUCGGAACGGUAACAGGUCUUCGGAUGCUGACGAGUGGCGAACGGGUGAGUAAUGCAUCGGAACGUGCCCAGUCGUGGGGGAUAACGCAGCGAAAGCUGUGCUAAUACCGCAUACGAUCUAUGGAUGAAAGCGGGGGAUCGCAAGACCUUGCGCUGAUUGAGCGGCCGAUAUCAGAUUAGCUAGUUGGUGGGGUAAAGGCCUACCAAGGCUACGAUCUGUAGCGGGUCUGAGAGGAUGAUCCGCCACACUGGAACUGAGACACGGUCCAGACUCCUACGGGAGGCAGCAGUGGGGAAUUUUGGACAAUGGGGGCAACCCUGAUCCAGCAAUGCCGCGUGAGUGAAGAAGGCCUU
This 389-nucleotide ribosomal RNA is filed under the name uncultured bacterium. RNAcentral's name for it is "bacterial SSU rRNA". It matches the Rfam family "Bacterial small subunit ribosomal RNA", at positions 30 to 418 of the family's 1533-position model. The record is from RNAcentral.